RNAcentral lists this ribosomal RNA (411 nucleotides) under uncultured bacterium. RNAcentral's name for it is "bacterial SSU rRNA". It matches the Rfam family "Bacterial small subunit ribosomal RNA", at positions 505 to 916 of the family's 1533-position model. The record is from RNAcentral.
GUGCCAGCAGCCGCGGUAAUACGUAGGGUGCAAGCGUUAAUCGGAAUUACUGGGCGUAAAGCGUGCGCAGGCGGUUUUGUAAGACAGAGGUGAAAUCCCCGGGCUCAACCCGGGAACUGCCUUUGUGACUGCAAAGCUUGAGUGCGGCAGAGGGGGAUGGAAUUCCGCGUGUAGCAGUGAAAUGCGUAGAUAUGCGGAGGAACACCGAUGGCGAAGGCAAUCCCCUGGGCCUGCACUGACGCUCAUUCACGAAAGCGUGGGGAGCAAACAGGAUUAGAUACCCUGGUAGUCCACGCCCUAAACGAUGUCAACUGGUUGUUGGGUCUUAACUGACUCAGUAACGAAGCUAACGCGUGAAGUUGACCGCCUGGGGAGUACGGCCGCAAGGUUAAAACUCAAAGGAAUUGGCGG